GUAAGGAAUAUUGGACAAUGGACGCAAGUCUGAUCCAGCCAUGCCGCGUGAAGGAUUAAGGUCCUCUGGAUUGUAAACUUCUUUUAUAAGGGACGAAAAAAGGCUUUUCUAAGUCGUCUGACGGUACCUUAUAAAUAAGCACCGGCUAACUCCGUGCCAGCAGCCGCGGUAAUACGGAGGGUGCAAGCGUUAUCCGGAUUCACUGGGUUUAAAGGGUGCGUAGGCGGGCAGGUAAGUCAGUGGUGAAAUCCUAGAGCUUAACUCUAGAACUGCCAUUGAUACUAUCUGUCUUGAAUAUUGUGGAGGUAAGCGGAAUAUGUCAUGUAGCGGUGAAAUGCUUAGAUAUGACAUAGAACACCUAUUGCGAAGGCAGCUUACUACGCAUAUAUUGACGCUGAGGCACGAAAGCGUGGGGAUCAAACAGGAUUAGAAACCCGUGUAGUCC
RNAcentral lists this ribosomal RNA (445 nucleotides) under uncultured bacterium. RNAcentral's name for it is "partial 16S ribosomal RNA". It matches the Rfam family "Bacterial small subunit ribosomal RNA", at positions 354 to 796 of the family's 1533-position model. The record is from RNAcentral.